RNAcentral lists this ribosomal RNA (716 nucleotides) under Bacillus sp. (in: firmicutes). RNAcentral describes it as "bacterial SSU rRNA". It matches the Rfam family "Bacterial small subunit ribosomal RNA", at positions 28 to 726 of the family's 1533-position model. The record is from RNAcentral. Lineage: Bacteria; Bacillati; Bacillota; Bacilli; Caryophanales; Bacillaceae.
CAAAAGGGCUGCUCAACAGCUUCAUACUGUAUGUCGAGCGAAUGGAUUAAGAGCUUGCUCUUAUGAAGUUAGCGGCGGACGGGUGAGUAACACGUGGGUAACCUGCCCAUAAGACUGGGAUAACUCCGGGAAACCGGGGCUAAUACCGGAUAACAUUUUGAACCGCAUGGUUCGAAAUUGAAAGGCGGCUUCGGCUGUCACUUAUGGAUGGACCCGCGUCGCAUUAGCUAGUUGGUGAGGUAACGGCUCACCAAGGCAACGAUGCGUAGCCGACCUGAGAGGGUGAUCGGCCACACUGGGACUGAGACACGGCCCAGACUCCUACGGGAGGCAGCAGUAGGGAAUCUUCCGCAAUGGACGAAAGUCUGACGGAGCAACGCCGCGUGAGUGAUGAAGGCUUUCGGGUCGUAAAACUCUGUUGUUAGGGAAGAACAAGUGCUAGUUGAAUAAGCUGGCACCUUGACGGUACCUAACCAGAAAGCCACGGCUAACUACGUGCCAGCAGCCGCGGUAAUACGUAGGUGGCAAGCGUUAUCCGGAAUUAUUGGGCGUAAAGCGCGCGCAGGUGGUUUCUUAAGUCUGAUGUGAAAGCCCACGGCUCAACCGUGGAGGGUCAUUGGAAACUGGGAGACUUGAGUGCAGAAGAGGAAAGUGGAAUUCCAUGUGUAGCGGUGAAAUGCGUAGAGAUAUGGAGGAACACCAGUGGCGAAGCGACU